GCAAGUAGCGAUGAAAAGGCUGACGCUGCCCAGCAGGAAUACGGCAGCAUGUGGUUGUGAGUCCAAACUGCCUACUGGUUGGAAGGAAAUGGGGGCGGGGAAUCCUAAUCCUAACGGGAAAAGGCAGACGCGCCCUCUCCUGGCAUCUCGGAAGAAUUCUGUUUCACUUUCUAGACCGCCAGCUCGUCAGGCUCCGCCUGCCGGAUCUUUGACAUCAAUCACCCUUGAGUUAACCUCCAGAACUGGGCAGAGGGGUAGCGUGUCAGUACCCGCCGCCACUCGCAAUUCCCGAGUGUCCCUCCUGCCUCUGUUAGGGGUGCCUGGGGUGAGUCACACUCCCUUUGGGUUUCUUUCUACUAUUUUAAACCAUAUUAAGCUCCUACAGAGCCCACAAGGGGGUGUAGCCAUGGGUGCUCCGCUAUGUGACUGGCUCCCUGCUCCUCUUCUCCACUGGUGCCAGACCAUACUUGCUCCAACAUGGCCAUCUAAGGAGGAAGAAAGAUGCCCCACAGGCUCACUCUCCAGCCUUCUUUUCCAGCAGGGGACCCAGAAGGACAGCUGGGAAAGCAGCAAGAUGACCAUCUACGUGUUGUCCUUUAGGAAUGACUUUCAAGUUCAUGGCCGCGGUGGCUGCUACCCAAAGUCAACAGCACAGAAACCUUCCUGUUAUAUCAGAACCUCUGUCUAAAAAUGGAUUGACUCAAUAGGAAAGCUACAGCAAAAGGAACCCAUCCACCAUGCUAUGAGAAAACAUGAGCAAUCAUGAGAGAAGCCCACGUGGAGGAGAACUGAGGCCCUCUAGCCAACUCCAAGUGAGCUUCUAGUCAGUAGCCAGUACUGAUUUCUAGCCACGGAGGAAAGGUGGAAAGGCCGCGUGAAGACACAGAGGGGAGGCAGCCAUCUACAAGCCUGGAAGAGAGACUACACCAGAAACUGACCCUGAUGACGUCUUGACCUUGGGCUUUUGGCUUCUAGAACAGUAACAAAAGAACUGUCUGUGCUUUGAGCCACCUGUCGGUGGAUUUCGCUAUGGUAGCCCUAGCAGACGGAGACGACGACAUUAUGAAAUUUCCUAUAUUACAUAUUCAGCGAGAGACAAGCGAGCAGUGCUGAUA
RNA transcript from Leopardus geoffroyi (Geoffroy's cat), 1115 nucleotides. RefSeq lists it as uncharacterized. The transcript has 6 exons. The record is from RefSeq and is a predicted model, not a curated record. Lineage: Eukaryota; Metazoa; Chordata; Mammalia; Carnivora; Felidae.